UACGGGAGGCAGCAGUGGGAAAUAUUGCACAAUGGGCGCAAGCCUGAUGCAGCCAUGCCGCGUGUAUGAAAAAGGCCUUCGGGUUGUAAAGUACUUUCAGUCGUGAGGAAGGUGUUAAGGUUAAUAACCUUAGCAAUUGACGUUAGCGACAGAAGAAGCACCGGCUAACUCCGUGCCAGCAGCCGCGGUAAUACGGAGGGUGCGAGCGUUAAUCGGAAUUACUGGGCGUAAAGGGCACGCAGGCGGUUAAUUAAGUUGGAUGUGAAAUCCCCGGGCUUAACCUGGGAAUGGCAUUCAAGACUGGUUAGCUAGAGUCUUGUAGAGGGGGUAGAAUUCCAUGUGUAGCGGUGAAAUGCGUAGAGAUGUGGAGGAAUACCGGUGGCGAAGGCGGCCCCUGGACAAAGACUGACGCUCAUGUGCGAAAGCGUGGGGAGCAAACAGGGAUUAGAUACC
RNAcentral lists this ribosomal RNA (453 nucleotides) under uncultured bacterium. Its description in RNAcentral is "bacterial SSU rRNA". It matches the Rfam family "Bacterial small subunit ribosomal RNA", at positions 340 to 786 of the family's 1533-position model. The record is from RNAcentral.